GACGGAGGGUGCUAGCGUUGUUCGGAAUUACUGGGCGUAAAGGGCGCGUAGGCGGCCAGAUCAGUCGGGUGUGAAAGCCCGGGGCUCAACCCCGGAACGGCACCCGAGACGGUUUGGCUGGAGACCGGGAGAGGAGGGUGGAAUAGCCAGUGUAGAGGUGAAAUUCGUAGAUAUUGGCUGGAACACCGGUGGCGAAAGCGGCUCUCUGGCCCGGUUCUGACGCUGAGGCGCGAAAGCGUGGGGAGCAAACAGG
This 253-nucleotide ribosomal RNA is filed under the name uncultured bacterium. Its description in RNAcentral is "partial 16S ribosomal RNA". It matches the Rfam family "Bacterial small subunit ribosomal RNA", at positions 524 to 776 of the family's 1533-position model. The record is from RNAcentral.